CUGCGAGUGAAGCGGGAAAAGCUCAAAUUUGAAAUCUGGCAGUAUUUGUUUUGCUGUCCGAGUUGUAAUCUAGAGAAGUGUUACCUGUGCUGGACCGUGUACAAGUCUCCUGGAAUGGGGCAUCAUAGAGGGUGAGAAUCCCGUCUUUGACACGGACUACCUGUACGCUGUGGUGCGCUCUCAAAGAGUCGAGUUGUUUGGGAAUGCAGCUCAAAACGGGUGGUAAAUGCCAUCUAAAGCUAAAUAUUGGCGAGAGACCGAUAGCGAACAAGUACCGUGAGGGAAAGANGAAAAGAACUUUGGAAAGAGAGUUAAACAGUACGUGAAAUUGCUGAAAGGGAAACGCUUGAAGUCAGUCGCGUUGGCUAGAAAUCAGCCUUGCUUUUGCUUGGUGUACUUUCUGGAUUUUUUCAACGGGUCAGCAUCAAUUUCGACCAUUGGANAAAGUCUUUGGGAAUGUGGCAUCUUUUUGGAUGUGUUAUAGCCCAUUGUCGCAUGCAGUGGUUGGGAUUGAGGAACUCAGCACGCCUGCAAAGGCCGGGUUUCGACCACGCUUUCCGUGCUUNNGAUGCUGGCAUAAUGGCUUUAAUCGACCCGUCUUGAAACACGGACCAA
Molecule: ribosomal RNA, 615 nt
Filed under: Inocybe sp.
Lineage: Eukaryota; Fungi; Basidiomycota; Agaricomycetes; Agaricales; Inocybaceae
Description: LSU rRNA
Rfam family: Eukaryotic large subunit ribosomal RNA
Source: RNAcentral